AGAGAUCAUGGCUCAGAAUCAACGCUGGCGGCGUGCCUCAGACAUGCAAGUCGAACGAUUAAAGCUCCCUUCGGGGAGUGCAUAAAGUGGCGCACGGGUGAGUAACACGUAAGUAAUCUGCCUUCGAGUGGGGAAUAACCCGGGGAAACCCGAGCUAAUACCGCAUAAUGCAGCGGCACCUAAUGGUGACAGUUGUUAAAGGAGCAAUCCGCUUGAAGAGGAGCUUGCGGCAGAUUAGCUUGUUGGUAAGGUAACGGCUUACCAAGGCUACGAUCUGUAUCCGGUCUAAGAGGACGGUCGGACACACUGACACUGAAUAACGGGUCAGACUCCUACGGGAGGCAGCAGUCGGGAAUUUUGGGCAAUGGGGGAAACCCUGACCCAGCAACGCCGCGUGAAGGAUGAAGUAUUUCGGUAUGUAAACUUCGAAAGAAUAGGAAGAAUUAAUGACGGUACUAUUUAUAAGGUCCGGCUAACUACGUGCCAGCAGCCGCGGUAAUACGUAGGGACCAAGCGUUGUUCGGAUUUACUGGGCGUAAAGGGCGCGUAGGCGGCGCGGUAAGUCACUUGUGAAAUCUCUGAGCUCAACUUCACAACUUCCCCAGUGAUCCUGCAGCGCUUUAGUGUGUAAAGGGGCAACCCGAAUUCUUGG
RNAcentral lists this ribosomal RNA (652 nucleotides) under uncultured Acidobacteriota bacterium. Its description in RNAcentral is "bacterial SSU rRNA". It matches the Rfam family "Bacterial small subunit ribosomal RNA", at positions 8 to 673 of the family's 1533-position model. The record is from RNAcentral. Lineage: Bacteria; Pseudomonadati; Acidobacteriota.